GUUAGUUGCACUGUCACAGCUGGUCGCAAACAUGACAGUCGUUCGUUACUUUCAUAAGUUACUUCAAAUUUCAAAACAAAUUGAAACUGUUAAACAACGGAGAUCGGAUAAUGAGUUAACUGUUUUUAAAUAAUUUCAGCUGACGUUUUCGUGUGCCUGGCCAACUAGGUGUUCGACUGCUCGUGUAAUAAAUUGAAAUAAAAUGGCUAAUCCAGUAAUGCAAGUUUGAAAGCUGUGUCUUCUGAAGCUCAAUGAUCUCUGCUGCAAGUUUUUGUAAAUCUUCAAGAUAUUGAUGCCUUUGCCAGAUCCAACUCUUUGCUGCUAUCUAUUUUGCAGACAACAGUAAUAAGCUACUCAAGAUUUUGUGGUGAUCUUGAGUGAUCUCACCAUUAGUUCUAAUUUAGGACAUGUAUAAGAAUGAUAGAUUUUAGGAUAAUCCCUCUCCUCUGUUAUGGUUGUUUGGAAGAGAGAUUGCUGGAUUUGAAGACUGAUAAUUUGUGUAGACAGUAGAUAAAUUACAAUUGCAUAAUCUGGGCUCCCUUCUUUUCUGUGGCCCCGUUUCCCAAACUAAUUUUAUAAAGAAAAAGUAAAACUCA
Long non-coding RNA from Daphnia pulex (common water flea), 596 nucleotides. RefSeq lists it as uncharacterized. The transcript has 4 exons. NCBI's taxonomy places the organism in Eukaryota, Metazoa, Arthropoda, Branchiopoda, Diplostraca, Daphniidae. The record is from RefSeq and is a predicted model, not a curated record.